This is a transfer RNA of Gossypium raimondii (Peruvian cotton), 82 nucleotides long. It matches the Rfam family "tRNA". Rfam says of the family: Transfer RNA (tRNA) molecules are approximately 80 nucleotides in length. NCBI's taxonomy places the organism in Eukaryota, Viridiplantae, Streptophyta, Magnoliopsida, Malvales, Malvaceae. The record is from Rfam.
GUUACUUUGGCCGAGUGGUUAAGGCGUGUGCUUGCUAUGUACAUGGAAUUUUUUCGCGAGAGAUCGAAUCUCUUAGGCGAUA